GCUCAGAAUGAACGCUGGCGGCGUGCUUAACACAUGCAAGUCGAACGAGAAAUCUUUAGCUUGCUAGAGAAAGUAAAGUGGCGCACGGGUGAGUAACGCGUGGGUAAUCUGCCUCCGAAUCGGGGAUAACAUUGCGAAAGCGAUGCUAAUACCGGAUAAAAUCUGGUUGGCUUCGGUGAACCGGAUCAAAGGUGGUCUCUUUAUAAAAGCUACCGUUUGGAGAUGAGCUCGCGUACCAUUAGCUAGUUGGUGAGGUAAAGGCUCACCAAGGCGACGAUGGUUAGCUGGUCUGAGAGGAUGAUCAGCCACACCGGAACUGGAACACGGUCCGGACUCCUACGGGAGGCAGCAGUGAGGAAUUUUGCGCAAUGGGGGAAACCCUGACGCAGCAACGCCGCGUGAGUGAUGAAGGCUUUCGGGUCGUAAAGCUCUGUCAGGUGGGAAGAACCCACCAAGUGUUAAGACCACUUGGUGCUGACGGUACCACCGAAGGAAGCACCGGCUAACUCCGUGCCAGCAGCCGCGGUAAUACGGGGGGUGCGAGCGUUAUUCGGAAUCAUUGGGCGUAAAGGGCGCGCAGGCGGUUUUGUAAGUCAGAUGUGAAAUCCCGGGGCUUAACCACGGAAGUGCAUAUGAAACUAUGAGACUUGAGUGUGGGAGAGGGAAGCGGAAUUCCUGGUGUAGCGGUGAAAUGCGUAGAUAUCAGGAGGAACACCGGUGGCGAAGGCGGCUUCCUGGACCAAUACUGACGCUGAGGCGCGAAGGCGUGGGGAGCGAACCAGGAUUAGAUACCCUGGUAGUCCACGCAGUAAACGUUGAUCACUACGUGUAGCGGGUAUUGACCCCUGCUGUG
RNAcentral lists this ribosomal RNA (853 nucleotides) under uncultured organism. Its description in RNAcentral is "bacterial SSU rRNA". It matches the Rfam family "Bacterial small subunit ribosomal RNA", at positions 22 to 845 of the family's 1533-position model. The record is from RNAcentral.